GGAGAAAAAGAGGAGGAAUGGCAAAGGCUGAUUGACUUUGUCAACUACUUACUUUAAGAAACAUUUGAGAAAGCCAGAAAGCAGAGGGGAUGAAGCUCCACUGUCAUGAGAAUGGGAAGCAGAAGCAGUGGCAGCAUGCACAGACAUCCUUUGAGGGUUUGUUAUAAACACAGAAACUGAUGUCUGGGAAAAGGCUGGAGUGCAAUGGCGCGAUCUCGGCUCACCGCAACCUCCGCCUCCCAGGUUCAAGCAAUUCUCUUGCCUUAGUCUCCCGAGUAGCUGGGAUUACAGGCAUGCACCACCACGCCUGGCUAAUUUUGUAUUUUUAGUAGAGACAGGGUUUCUCCAUGUUAAGGCUGUUUUCGAACUCCUGACCUCAGGUGAUCCGCCCACCUUGGCCUCCCAAAGUGCUGGGAUUACAAGCGUGAGCCACUGUGCCCGGCCCAAGCUGUACUGUUAUUUAAGUGUAAUUUAGUUAGAUGUGUGAACUCACUGAAAUUGUAUACACAAUUUUCUGUGUAUGUAUAAAAUUUGAUAUUUAAAUGUAUUUAUGGCAAGAGUAUCCGUAACUUUUAUGAACAUAUCAAGUGGACAUGAUCACAAAACAGAUGCAAUUUAUUACCAUAGAGCUUCAGAAAUACCCCUUCCAAAAAAUAUGUAUAAUGAUAUGAUACUUACAAUGGAGGCAACUAUGAUAUUUAACUGUCAGUAAACUGAAAGAAAAAAAUGACUCAAAAAGUUUGUAAAGAUGAUAUCUUUC
This 760-nucleotide long non-coding RNA is filed under the name Pongo abelii (Sumatran orangutan). RNAcentral describes it as "lincRNA". The record is from RNAcentral. Lineage: Eukaryota; Metazoa; Chordata; Mammalia; Primates; Hominidae.